AUCUUUGCGCCUGCAAUUGGUUUUCCGUUUUGGAGAUUAAAAUGGGAAUCGGGUUCAAAUCCCGGACAGUCCCGCUGCUGUAAUCGGUAUUAUGAGGCAUGAACAAAGGUCACUGAGCGUUAUCGGGAAGACUCAUGCCGUAGGCCGUAAGUCAGAAGACCUGCCACUGCAUUACUUAUUUC
Molecule: non-coding RNA, 182 nt
Filed under: Bacteroidales bacterium KA00344
Lineage: Bacteria; Pseudomonadati; Bacteroidota; Bacteroidia; Bacteroidales
Also listed under: 1 other name
Source: RNAcentral